AUAGGUGACAGUUGUUCCAAUCCAGACCAGCUUAUGGUGGAUUUGGAGAGGCAGGAGGUUCAAAAUGUCUUCCUGGAUUUUCUGGUCAAUUUUGUGAAAUUAAUAUAAAUGAAUGCUCUUCAUCACCAUGUCUACAUGGUGCAGACUGUGAAGAUCAUAUCAAUGGAUAUGUUUGCAAAUGCCAGCCAGGAUGGUCUGGACACCACUGUGAGAAGGAGCUUGAGUGCAUUCCCAACUCAUGUGUUCAUGAACUCUGCAUGGAGAAUGAACCUGGCUCCACAUGUUUAUGCACACCUGGAUUUAUGACCUGCUCCACUGGGCUUCUUUGUGGUGAUGAAAUAAGAAGAAUUACCUGUUUAACUCCCAUCUUUCAAAGAACAGAUCCCAUUUCCACACAGACAUACACAGUUCCCCCUUCUGAGACUUUGGUCAGCAGCUUUCCAUCUAUAAAGGCUACUAGAAUACCAGCCAUAAUGGACACUUA
Molecule: small RNA, 484 nt
Filed under: Pongo abelii (Sumatran orangutan)
Lineage: Eukaryota; Metazoa; Chordata; Mammalia; Primates; Hominidae
Description: processed transcript
Source: RNAcentral